This 520-nucleotide ribosomal RNA is filed under the name uncultured prokaryote. Its description in RNAcentral is "bacterial SSU rRNA". It matches the Rfam family "Bacterial small subunit ribosomal RNA", at positions 419 to 905 of the family's 1533-position model. The record is from RNAcentral.
GGGUUCUUACAUGCUUAAAACUUGGGGUGAAUGGUCAACCGCCUGCAGAGGGAGCAACCUGUGUCUUUAUAAUAAAGAGGGCUCUUGACGGUCCCGUAAGAAUAAGCACCGGCUAACUACGUGCCAGCAGCCGCGGUAAUACGUAGGGUGCGAGCGUUAAUCGGAAUUACUGGGCGUAAAGCGUGCGCAGGCGGUUCUAUAAGACAGAUGUGAAAUCCCCGGGCUCAACCUGGGAAUGGCAUUUGUGACUGUACAGCUACAGUACGGUAGAGGGGGAUGGAAUUCCGCGUGUAGCAGUGAAAUGCGUAGAUAUGCGGAGGAACACCGAUGGCGAAGGCAAUCCCCUGGACCUGUACUGACGCUCAUGCACAAAAGCGUGGGGAGCAAACAGGAUUAGAUACCCUGGUAGUCCACGCCCUAAACGAUGUCAACUGGUUGUUGGGUGCAUUAGUACUCAGUAACGAAACUAACGCGUGAAUUUGACCGCCUGGGGAGUACCGCCGCAAGGUUGAAACUCAAA